GAGACAGCAGUAGCCACGGUAAUACAGAGGGUGCGAGCGUUAAUCGGAUUUACUGGGCGUAAAGCGUGCGUAGGCGGCUUCUUAAGUCGGAUGUGAAAUCCCUGAGCUUAACUUAGGAAUUGCAUUCGAUACUGGGAAGCUAGAGUAUGGGAGAGGAUGGUAGAAUUCCAGGUGUAGCGGUGAAAUGCGUAGAGAUCUGGAGGAAUACCGAUGGCGAAGGCAGCCAUCUGGCCUAAUACUGACGCUGAGGUACGAAAGCAUGGGGAGCAAACAGGAUUAGAUACCCCUGUAGUCCCUGUCUCUUAUAC
Molecule: ribosomal RNA, 308 nt
Filed under: uncultured bacterium
Lineage: Bacteria
Description: partial 16S ribosomal RNA
Rfam family: Bacterial small subunit ribosomal RNA
Source: RNAcentral